RNAcentral lists this ribosomal RNA (468 nucleotides) under uncultured bacterium. RNAcentral describes it as "partial 16S ribosomal RNA". It matches the Rfam family "Bacterial small subunit ribosomal RNA", at positions 28 to 507 of the family's 1533-position model. The record is from RNAcentral.
GACGAACGCUGGCGGCGUGCUUAACACAUGCAAGUCGAACGGAAAGGCCCGGCUUUUGUGGGGUGCUCGAGUGGCGAACGGGUGAGUAACACGUGAGUAACCUGCCCUUGACUUUGGGAUAACUUCAGGAAACUGGGGCUAAUACCGGAUAGGAGCUCCUGCUGCAUGGUGGGGGUUGGAAAGUUUCGGCGGUUGGGGAUGGACUCGCGGCUUAUCAGCUUGUUGGUGGGGUAGUGGCUUACCAAGGCUUUGACGGGUAGCCGGCCUGAGAGGGUGACCGGCCACAUUGGGACGGAGAUACGGCCCAGACUCCUACGGGAGGCAGCAGUGGGGAAUAUUGCACAAUGGGCGGAAGCCUGAUGCAGCAACGCCGCGUGCGGGAUGACGGCCUUCGGGUGGUAGACCGCUUUCGCCUGUGACGAAGCGUGAGUGACGGUAAUGGGUAAAGAAGCACCGGCUAACUACGUG